This is a long non-coding RNA of Pantherophis guttatus, 1322 nucleotides long. RefSeq lists it as uncharacterized. The record is from RefSeq and is a predicted model, not a curated record. NCBI's taxonomy places the organism in Eukaryota, Metazoa, Chordata, Lepidosauria, Squamata, Colubridae.
CCAAGCAGAUAAAUGGCAUGGCUGGCAGCAAUGACCCAACUCUACACCCAUCGCUAGACUUCUUGUCUUUGGCAACAUCCCCCUUAUGGUCUCCACACAAGAUAUAUUUCUUCCCACCUCAGAUUCAUUUUUUUCAGACUUACAAUAUCAAAGAAGACUUGGCAAACAUCAAUAGUAUUCAAUAGUUCACAGACAUGAUCCUUUGAAAUAAAAAGGAAGAGAAAGACUGACAGCAAUCUAGAAGCAAAUCCGGUAUGGAUAACCUGAAGUUGCAUUAUCUGAAAAAGAAGCUUCCAUCAAUCAAAUAUUUACUGAUUAACUUCUGCAACACUUCUACCAGUUCCUUUUUUAUACCCCAAAGGAAGGUUACUAUUUUCUGGGACCAACCCUUAUGAAAGAAAAAUGGUUAAGUCAUGCAAGUAGAACAUUCUUUCAAUGUGAUUUUAUAGUCGGUCAUUACUGUAACUAUUGCCAGUAGUCUUCUCAACUCUGGAGCUAUGGGAAUGGGUGGGUCAGUGAUAUGCCCUAUUUCCUUCCCACGUGAAAAGAAAAUAUUAGUAAAGUAUUUAUUUCUCAUUUCCCCCUCACUUCUUUUAAUAAAUCACCACAUCUCCAACUCAGAACAUCUUAAGCAUGCCACAGUAAAACUGUCAACUUAGUCAAGCAUUAUAUUUGAAAUGGGAAAGAGACCAAAGAUUACUCUUAAUUAGGAAGGGAUAUAUAGUACAAAUCAGCAACAUGGAGAAAGAAAAUGUACUUAUCACCAUGAUUUUUGCCUUGAUUAUAUAGCCCUAGAAAGAAAUAGGGUCAGACUCUACAAUGCUGGAGGAUACAUGAACAUCUGAGGCUGCUUGUCUACUUCAUGCAUAACCUGUAAAUCUGGUCUGUGCAAUGGUUGGCCCAUACAAAGUAGUAAUUACCACAGGCAAGAAACUACUAGGAGUCAAAAUUUAAACUGAGUACAUAUAACAGGAACUGCUACAAAGCUUCUAACUGAGAUUAGAGAAAACUUGUUUUUGCAUAACCAUUUACUAAUUUGUAGCCAGUAUAUGAUGGGUUGUUUAACUGAUCAAAUGUCAAUCAACCUGACAUUUCAUUUGGAUGAUUCUAAAGUAAGAAACUCAAGUUUAUAUUGUUGAAUGAUUACACCUUAAUUUUCAUGUUUCAUAAGAAUUGCGGGAAGAGUAACACCCCAACAACAGAACAUUUGAAAUGUAAUACAUUGCCUACUGCUAUGAUAAUUCACAUGGCUUGAGUUAUGCAAAUGUAUUUUUUAAUAUAUUUGUGUAAUAUUUAAAUAAAUGAUGUAUUGUGGAUAAAUA